CGCAAAAGUGAGGAGAAACGGAGAAAAGGAAAUCCAGCACUCCAACAUGAUGAAAGUAGUGAUCGCUCUUGUUUUGGCUAUGGCUGCCGUUGCAUGCGCCUCGGUCAUACCAUACAGAUAUGGAGAUGGAGUGAGCGCCAGACAUUUCUACAAAGGAGAGGUUCCCUACGGAAUUUAUGGUCUCGGAUAUAAUGGAUACUAUGGUGCCUACGCACCUUAUUACGGAUAUGAUGGACUCGGUUACGGAUAUGGACCCUAUGGAUACUUUGGAAGAUAUGGCACCGGCUAUCUCGGAUAUGGAAGAUACUUUUGAGAUCUUAGUUACAUCGAAGUUCACUUUUAAGUGAAUUUAAUCAAUAUUUGAACUGCAAAUUUCUGAAUUGGGAAAAUCCUUCUGAAAAAAAUUUCUGAAUUACCAAAAACGAAAUUUUUUUAGAAAAAUGAAGCAAAAAUUUACUGAAGAAGAAUGAAGAUUUAUUAUUGUCAAAAAAUAAAGAAAUGCUGUUUAUCGAA
This is a long non-coding RNA of Argiope bruennichi, 513 nucleotides long. RefSeq lists it as uncharacterized. The record is from RefSeq and is a predicted model, not a curated record. Lineage: Eukaryota; Metazoa; Arthropoda; Arachnida; Araneae; Araneidae. The transcript has 3 exons.